UACGAGGGGGGCAAGCGUUGUUCGGAAUUAUUGGGCGUAAAGGGUGCGUAGGCGGUCUGCCAAGUCUGAUGUGAAAUCUAUAGGCUCAACCCAUAGUCUGCAUCGGAAACUGUCGGGCUUGAGUAUGGGAGAGGUGAGUGGAAUUUCCGGUGUAGCGGUGAAAUGCGUAGAUAUCGGAAGGAACACCUGUGGCGAAAGCGGCUCACUGGACCAUUACUGACGCUGAGGCACGAAAGCUAGGGGAGCAAACAGG
Molecule: ribosomal RNA, 253 nt
Filed under: uncultured bacterium
Lineage: Bacteria
Description: partial 16S ribosomal RNA
Rfam family: Bacterial small subunit ribosomal RNA
Source: RNAcentral